UACGGGGGGGGUAAGCGUUGUUCGGAAUUACUGGGCGUAAAGCGCGUGUAGGCGGCCCUGCAAGUCGGAUGUGAAAUCCCACGGCUCAACCGUGGAAGUGCAUUCGAUACUACCGUGCUUGAGGACUGGAGAGGAGACUGGAAUUUACGGUGUAGCGGUGAAAUGCGUAGAUAUCGUAAGGAAGACCAGUGGCGAAGGCGGGUCUCUGGACAGUUCCUGACGCUGAGGCACGAAGGUCAGGGGAGCAAACGGG
This 253-nucleotide ribosomal RNA is filed under the name uncultured bacterium. Its description in RNAcentral is "partial 16S ribosomal RNA". It matches the Rfam family "Bacterial small subunit ribosomal RNA", at positions 524 to 776 of the family's 1533-position model. The record is from RNAcentral.